RNAcentral lists this transfer RNA (96 nucleotides) under Scytonema millei VB511283. RNAcentral describes it as "tRNA-Asp". Lineage: Bacteria; Bacillati; Cyanobacteriota; Cyanophyceae; Nostocales; Scytonemataceae. The record is from RNAcentral.
CGGGGUGUAGCUCAAUUGGCUAGAGCGUUCCGUUGUCUGCGGAAAGGUUGCGGGUACUCUUCGAGAAGGCUUCGCCUACAAGUCCCGUCACCCUGG